This 427-nucleotide ribosomal RNA is filed under the name uncultured Candidatus Odyssella sp. Its description in RNAcentral is "bacterial SSU rRNA". It matches the Rfam family "Bacterial small subunit ribosomal RNA", at positions 352 to 794 of the family's 1533-position model. Lineage: Bacteria; Pseudomonadati; Pseudomonadota; Alphaproteobacteria; Holosporales; Candidatus Paracaedibacteraceae. The record is from RNAcentral.
AGAGGGCGAAUAUUAGGACAAUGGGGGCAACCCUGAUCCAGCAAUGCCGCGUGAGUGAAGAAGGCCUUCGGGUUGUUAAGCUCUUUUACCAGGGAAGAUGAUGACGGUACCUGGGGAAUAAGCUCCGGCUAACUUCGUGCCAGCAGCCGCGGUAAUACGAAGGGAGCUAGCGUUGUUCGGAAUUACUGGGCGUAAAGGGCGCGUAGGCGGCUCUGUAAGUCAGAUGUGAAAGCCCCGGGCUUAACCUGGGAACUGCAUUUGAUACUGCAGAGCUAGAAGAUCGAGAGAGGAAAGUGGAAUUACGAGUGUAGAAGUGAAAUUCGUAGAUAUUCGUAGGAACACCAGUGGCGAAGGCGACUUUCUGGCUCGAUACUGACGCUAAAGCGCGAAAGCGUGGGGAGCAAACAGGAUUAGAUACCCUGGUAGA